Molecule: ribosomal RNA, 467 nt
Filed under: uncultured bacterium
Lineage: Bacteria
Description: partial 16S ribosomal RNA
Rfam family: Bacterial small subunit ribosomal RNA
Source: RNAcentral
GACGAACGCUGGCGGCGUGCUUAACACAUGCAAGUCGAACGGAAAGGCCUCUUUCGGGGGGUACUCGAGUGGCGAACGGGUGAGUAACACGUGAGUAACCUGCCCUUGACUUUGGGAUAACUUCAGGAAACUGGGGCUAAUACCGGAUAGGAGCUCCUGCUGCAUGGUGGGGGUUGGAAAGUUUCGGCGGUUGGGGAUGGACUCGCGGCUUAUCAGCUUGUUGGUGGGGUAGUGGCUUACCAAGGCUUUGACGGGUAGCCGGCCUGAGAGGGUGACCGGCCACAUUGGGACUGAGAUACGGCCCAGAUUCCUACGGGAGGCAGCAGUGGGGAAUAUUGCACAAUGGGUGGAAGCCUGAUGCAGCAACGCCGUGUGCGGGAUGACGGCCUUCGGGUUGUAAACCGCUUUCGCUCAUGACGAAGCUUUGUGUGACGGUAGUGGGUAAAGAAGCACCGGCUAACUACGUG